This 587-nucleotide ribosomal RNA is filed under the name uncultured cyanobacterium. RNAcentral's name for it is "bacterial SSU rRNA". It matches the Rfam family "Bacterial small subunit ribosomal RNA", at positions 86 to 706 of the family's 1533-position model. Lineage: Bacteria; Bacillati; Cyanobacteriota. The record is from RNAcentral.
CGGACAUUAGUGGCGGACGGGUGAGUAACGCGUGAGAAUCUAGCUUCAGGUUGGGGACAACAGUUGGAAACGACUGCUAAUACCGAAUAUGCCGAGAGGUGAAAGAUUUAUUGCCUGAAGAAGAGCUCGCGUCUGAUUAGCUAGUUGGUGGGGUAAAAGCUUACCAAGGCGACGAUCGGUAGCUGGUCUGAGAGGACGAUCAGCCACACUGGGACUGAGACACGGCCCAGACUCCUACGGGAGGCAGCAGUGGGGAAUUUUCCGCAAUGGGCGAAAGCCUGACGGAGCAAUACCGCGUGAGGGAAGAAGGCUCUUGGGUUGUAAACCUCUUUUCUUAGGGAAGAAAAAAAUGACGGUACCUAAGGAAUAAGCAUCGGCUAACUCCGUGCCAGCAGCCGCGGUAAUACGGAGGAUGCAAGCGUUAUCCGGAAUGAUUGGGCGUAAAGCGUCCGCAGGUGGCAAAUCAAGUUUGCGGUUAAAGGUUCUGGCUCAACCAGAGACAGGCCGUGAAAACUGAUUAGCUAGAGUAUGGUAGGGGCAGAGGGAAUUCCCAGUGUAGCGGUGAAAUGCGUAGAGAUUGGGAGGAA